CAGACCGAACUGAUUACAUCAGACUUUGCACCAUCUUUCAACUCGGCCAAAAUUCUUACCCAAGGACAUCUGAAAAGGAAUCUCUCAGUUUUAAAUAACGGAUUAUUGACACACAGGUCCAGGCCAAUAAAAUAACGUAUUAGUUGUUGAUCACUGAUGAAGUAAAAACAGCAGUGGACUUGGAUUUUUGGACUCAAAAGUACAUAACUUCACUGGCAAGACUCCACUCGAAAUGAUUCACUAAUACGAACGGUCCUUUGCGCUCACGCAUAUAACUGUGCACGGAAAGAAGAAACGCAUCGACUGGGAGAGCCAGCGUACGGAAAGACGGGCAGGGAAGAACCUUCAGCCGACGGCAGCCAUCGAUCAAACUGAACCCUGAGCUCCAAAGGGGGGGAGGGGGAGGAUACAUGUGCCUGCUGAUUCAUUUUAGCUUCACACACUCGCACAGACCAUCUGCACGUGAGAAAGUACACUCGGUCCUGUGCUUGGCUCCAUCAGAAACCCAACUGGAGCAAAAGGAAACUGGGACGUGUCCCAGUGUCCACGAAAAGAGCAAGUCUUGACCCAAAUCAAGUGUUUGGAUGACGCACUAGCGAGUCAAGCGGGCUCUUUAACAGGAGAGGAGGAGUGUGGACCAUCACGCCCAUUACCUAACUCACAGAAACACUCGAACACUUUCACAACUUCUCACAACUGUGGAGUUGUUUCACUCCUCGGUCCUGUCUGGAGCAUUCGUUCAUCCAUUAAAUCUAUCAGGCUGAAUUCAUAUACAGUACCUUCCGACCUACCCAGACAUCCACUAAACCAUCUGCAGGAUGAAACCCACCAUCCAUCGGAUCCACCUAUAGGAUCCAUCCACCCAUCCGUUAGUGCAUGUAUAGGAUCCAUCAAUCAUCUACAGGAUGCUUCCAUUCAUCCGCCCAUCCACAGGGUCCACCACGGUUGUAAGGAGUCAUCAAGUGAGUUUUUACAUACUUCCUGGCAGCUCAAACCUGGCAGUUUUCCUCUGAACUCUCUAAACAACAAGGCGUUGACAACCACAGAAUUGUCACUCACCGUGUUUUUUGUUUUUCGCACCAUUCAGUGUAACCUCUAGCGACUGCCGUGUAUGAAAUUCCCAGGUCAGCAGUUUCCGAAAUAUUCAAAACAAGCCCAUCUGGUAUCGACACCGUGCCAUGUUUAAAGUCACACAUUCUGAUGUUUGAUGUCAAGGGGUGGGAUACAUUAGGCAGCAAGUGAACAGUCAGUUAUCAAAAGUUCAAGUGUUGCAAGCAGGGAAAAUGGGCAAUCAUCCAAAUACAUGCAUUCAUGAUAACACUGUUCCCUAGUGG
Ictalurus punctatus (channel catfish) is the source of this 1334-nucleotide long non-coding RNA. RefSeq lists it as uncharacterized. NCBI's taxonomy places the organism in Eukaryota, Metazoa, Chordata, Actinopteri, Siluriformes, Ictaluridae. The record is from RefSeq and is a predicted model, not a curated record. The transcript is spliced from 2 exons.